This is a long non-coding RNA of Leopardus geoffroyi (Geoffroy's cat), 562 nucleotides long. RefSeq lists it as uncharacterized. Lineage: Eukaryota; Metazoa; Chordata; Mammalia; Carnivora; Felidae. The record is from RefSeq and is a predicted model, not a curated record. The transcript has 4 exons.
AGAGCACGUUGUGGUAGAUCAUUCAUGCUGCCAGGGAAACUUUUGUAGUCUCCAAGCUACUACGAGACAUGGCUCUCGAUCCAGGGCAGAGGACUCAUCAAAAAGGCAGGAGCCCAGGCAGCCCACAGGAUUCCUUAGACUGGAAGGAUCACAGCCGGCAGGUUGGGGACGUGAUCUAGCCUGUGACUGAAGGCGAGGCUCCCUUUCACAUUCAUUCUUUCCUUCAUUCAUUCCAAACAACCUCCAGAGGUCAGAGGUCAGCCAGUUCAGCUUCCUGCCUGAGGUUGAGAAGCGAAAGCAUCAGAGAAGAGGAGGAUCGAUUUCACACCAGGGCCUCAGGCUGUAUGGGUGGAUUCCCUGCACCAGACCGUUUGUCUGGCAACUGCAGAACUGGAGAAGAAAUCUCGGCCCUACCCAGGAGUCUCGGAGCUCCCACCGCCUCAUGCGCCCAUCACAGCUUUCUGGAUCGACAGCCCCCUCUUUCAGUCAAUAGGAGCUUUGUGAGCUAAACAACAGAUGCCACAGGGCCUAGAAGGCAAAUAAAUAUGGUUAUUCAACGUUC